Molecule: long non-coding RNA, 213 nt
Filed under: Prunus persica (peach)
Lineage: Eukaryota; Viridiplantae; Streptophyta; Magnoliopsida; Rosales; Rosaceae
Description: long non-coding RNA (PPER_LNC007170)
Source: RNAcentral
CAGAGGUAAUUGUUUUAAGGGUUUUUAACUUUAGACGUCCCUGAAUUUUGCUCUCAGUUACAAUUGGGUCCGUGAACUUCUUUUAGAGGAAAUUACAUCCUUUAACUCGACAAGUAGUGACAGGACCCGACCCAAAUUCCCCUUUGAAAUCCGAGCCGAACCCUGUUCGUGAUCGACACCUGACAGGUGCCGAGCACAAAUAACCUGGUUGCC